GGCUGGUGAGUGAAAUGGUGUUCACAACUAACUGAUCACAACCAGUUAUAGCUUUCUUUGUGCCUUCUCUCACUCCUACUCCUUCACUUGACCAGCCUUAA
This 101-nucleotide Y RNA is filed under the name Aotus nancymaae (Ma's night monkey). RNAcentral describes it as "Y RNA (ENSANAG00000006442.1)". It matches the Rfam family "Y RNA". From Rfam's summary of the family: Y RNAs are components of the Ro ribonucleoprotein particle (Ro RNP), in association with Ro60 and La proteins. The Y RNAs and Ro60 and La proteins are well conserved, but the function of the Ro RNP is not known. In humans the RNA component can be one of four small RNAs -- hY1, hY3, hY4 and hY5. The record is from Rfam by way of RNAcentral. Lineage: Eukaryota; Metazoa; Chordata; Mammalia; Primates; Aotidae.